GAUGAAGAACGCAGCGAAAUGCGAUACGUAAUGUGAAUUGCAAAUUCAGUGAAUCAUCGAGUCUUUGAACGCACAUUGCGCCCCCUGGUAUUCCGGGGGGCAUGCCUGUCCGAGCGUCAUUGCUGCCCUCAAGCACGGCUUGUGUGUUGGGCCCCGUCCUCCGAUCCCGGGGGACGGGCCCGAAAGGCAGCGGCGGCACCGCGUCCGGUCCUCGAGCGUAUGGGGCUUUGUCACCCGCUUUGUAGGCCCGGCCGGCGCUUGCCGAUCAACCCAAAUUUUUAUCCAGGUUGACCUCGGAUCAGGUAGGGAUACCCGCUGAACUUAAGCAUAUCAAUAAGCGGAGGA
Molecule: unclassified non-coding RNA, 345 nt
Filed under: soil metagenome
Description: partial contains 5.8S ribosomal RNA, internal transcribed spacer 2, and large subunit ribosomal RNA
Rfam family: 5.8S ribosomal RNA (bases 1-119)
Source: RNAcentral